UCUAAUGAAAUAUAUGAUUAUAUAAGAUUCUUUUGUUUCUGUUGUAUCAAAAUUCUAUAUAUAUCAGAGGAAAGGAAAAGGAGUGAUCCUCAAACCCACCUUCUGCUGACCCUGUAGCAUGCCAAAAUAAAACAGAUUCAAAAUCUAAAUACUUUGUAUUCAAGGAUUACUAGUGAAAGAACUGAUCAGCAGAUUCCACCACAUACUUAUAUAGAAUGCAUCACUUUAACAACCUAAUGACAUGAUUAUUAAGAAAAUCAAAGGCUAACAAUAGUACUUGCUCAAGAUCGUUUCAUUAAGAGGAAGGGCUCAGUUUAAAGAAGUGCAGACAAUUUACAGAAAGAAAAACAAUCUUCUUGAAAGUAAAUGAUAAGCAAAACAAGAAGAAAUAUCACAGGGAAGGAUUUCAUGUAUGUUUGCAGCCCAUAUCGAAAAAUCUGGAAUAUAUUCGGUAUCAUCAAAUACAGAGAUAUUUUUUUCUUUUUUAAUUAAGAUGCUAGCUGACACGUAAAAACAAAAUCUGUUUGGAAAAAUAUCCUUUUGUCCAAAUGCAACUUAAGAAAAAUUUAGAAAGUAUUCUGGUGUAAAGACGAUCUCUGGGUUUAGAUCUGAAUUUAAAAAUUGCAAUUUUUUUCAUGAUAAUAAAGGAAAAUAAAUGAAAGAAACUACGGAUGUCAAAACUUGUAGGAGCAUAAAGAUUAUCAAACAACAGUAAAGAUUGUAUCUCCAAUUUAGGGCUACAUCCGUCAACUAAAACUUGGUUGACCUUCAACCAGAUCCUGAGGUCACAACCGAUACCAAGAAGAUUGGUCAAGCCUUCUUGUGCAGAACUAUAGAAAACCAACGGAAGGGUUACAAAACAACUCACAGUUGGGACAAAGAAUCUUAUGGUUUUGAACAAAUCGGACGAAGACAGAGAGGUGAAAGCUGCAACCCAGCUAAACCAUGACGUCAUACAACCCCAUAACUGCUUCCAGAUUCGAUAAAAAGAUCCGGGAUCCAUGAAUCAAUACAAGAAGCAAGAAUUCUAACCAAACACAAAUUCAGAUGGCUCGGAAAGUUCAAGAAUCUCCAUUAUGAUUCUUGACCCAUCGAAAUCAAACAAGGAUAGAAACCCCAAUGCAACGAGAAUUUUGGAUUCAUCUAGGUAAUUCCAACUCUAUGGCAGAGGAUUAAGCAUCAAAACCCUAAAAAUUGGCGCAAGAAUCGAAAUCUUUAUCGAUGAAACCCAUUAAGAUAGUUGCGGGGAAAGAAGCUCACCGGAGGAGGGAUUCCGGGGAAAUCUCAGGAAAUUCGCAGCGUUGUACCCUCCUUCACUCGAUUCCCUUUCCCGUUGCGAGUCCAAAGGACCCGGCCAGGGGGAUUCGACCGAGGCGAGCCAAAGAAUCUCAGACAGUCGGAGAGACCAUGGAGG
This 1414-nucleotide long non-coding RNA is filed under the name Phoenix dactylifera (date palm). RNAcentral's name for it is "long non-coding RNA (PDAC_LNC013817)". The record is from RNAcentral. Lineage: Eukaryota; Viridiplantae; Streptophyta; Magnoliopsida; Arecales; Arecaceae.